UACGAAGGGGGCUAGCGUUGCUCGGAAUCACUGGGCGUAAAGGGUGCGUAGGCGGGUUAUUAAGUCAGAGGUGAAAUCCUGGAGCUCAACUCCAGAACUGCCUUUGAUACUGAUAGUCUUGAGUAUGGGAGAGGUGAGUGGAACUGCGAGUGUAGAGGUGAAAUCCGUAGAUAUUCGCAAGAACACCAGUGGCGAAGGCGGCUCACUGGCCCAUUACUGACGCUGAGGCACGAAAGCGUGGGGAGCAAACAGG
RNAcentral lists this ribosomal RNA (253 nucleotides) under uncultured bacterium. Its description in RNAcentral is "partial 16S ribosomal RNA". It matches the Rfam family "Bacterial small subunit ribosomal RNA", at positions 524 to 776 of the family's 1533-position model. The record is from RNAcentral.